RNAcentral lists this ribosomal RNA (464 nucleotides) under Archaeophya magnifica. Its description in RNAcentral is "eukaryotic LSU rRNA". The record is from RNAcentral. Lineage: Eukaryota; Metazoa; Arthropoda; Insecta; Odonata; Corduliidae.
GAAGAGAGAGUUCAAGAGUACGUGAAACCGUCUGGGAGUAAACGGGUGGUUCCCGAAAGUACGAAAGGGGAGAUUCAGGUCUCGCUGCGCGUCGGGCGGCGUCCGCGAUCAGGGAUGGUGUUCUCGCGGCCGGGGGGCGACCCUCGGUCCGGGANNNGCUCCACUCCGCGGGCGCCGUGUCUUGCUCCCGACGCCGGAGUGACGCACUUCUCCCCCAGUAGAACGUCGCGACCCGUCGGGCGCCGGCCUAAGGUCCCGGGUGGAGUCUGUGCGGCCCUCGAAACCGCGCACGACCCCGGGGAUCCCGGCCGGGUGCUCGACGGUACGAAGAGAGGAAGGAGUCGACGCGCCGAAUCCAUCGGCGUCCGGCCCUCCGCAAGCGCCCGCGGGAGUCCGAGACUCCGGGCCCGGCCCGGUCUCGGUCCCUCCGCGGGGCUGUUUGCGAUCAGGAGGUGUCCUCGGAC